RNAcentral lists this ribosomal RNA (605 nucleotides) under Anampses caeruleopunctatus (bluespotted wrasse). RNAcentral's name for it is "partial 12S ribosomal RNA". The stretch from base 1 to 528 matches the Rfam family "Bacterial small subunit ribosomal RNA", at positions 776 to 1533 of the family's 1533-position model. The record is from RNAcentral. Lineage: Eukaryota; Metazoa; Chordata; Actinopteri; Labriformes; Labridae.
GGAUAGAUACCCCACUAUGCCUAGCCAUAAACAUAGAUAAUUAUGUACUUAUUUAUCCGCCUGGGUACUACGAGCGUUAGCUUAAAACCCAAAGGACUKGGCGGUGCUUUAGAUCCACCUAGAGGAGCCUGUUCUAGAACCGAUAAUCCCCGUUAAACCUCACCUCUCCUUGCCUAGUCCGCCUAUAUACCGCCGUCGUCAGCUUACCCUGUGAAGAGAUAGAAGUAAGCACAACCGGCACAGCCCAAAACGUCAGGUCGAGGUGUAGCGUAUGGAGAGGGAAGAAAUGGGCUACAUUCGAUAGCAAUAUUGAAUACGGAUAAUGUUUUGAAAGAGACAUUUGAAGGAGGAUUUAGUAGUAAGCAGUGAAUAGAGAGCCCCGCUGAAACCGGCCCUGAAGCGCGCACACACCGCCCGUCACUCUCCCCGAGCUAACAUAAACCAAUUACUAAUAAACAAAAACUGUAAAGGGGAGGCAAGUCGUAACAUGGUAAGUGUACCGGAAGGUGCACUUGGAAUAACUCAGARCAUAGCUAAACAACGCAUAGCAUCUCCCUUACACUGAGAAGAUAUCCGUGCAACCCGGAUUGCCCURAAGCCCAAUA